RNAcentral lists this long non-coding RNA (454 nucleotides) under Capsicum annuum. Its description in RNAcentral is "long non-coding RNA (CANN_LNC015353)". The record is from RNAcentral. Lineage: Eukaryota; Viridiplantae; Streptophyta; Magnoliopsida; Solanales; Solanaceae.
CAUGAAGGUGAUUUUGCGAUUUGACAUAAAGUUCAAAUUGAGCCUAUUGUACCUAGGAAAUUUUAAGGUUCUAAAGAAAGUGGGUUUGAUUGAGUACAAUAUGGCCUUACCCCGUAGUAUGUCCAUGGUUCACACCAUAUUCCAUGUAUUUUAUACCAAAGAAAUCUCAUAGAUAUUGGGACAAUAUUAUCAAUUCAGACUCAGAAUCAAUGGACAAACUAUAGCCCUAUGAACGAGAACUAAUUACUAUUCUAGCUAAUUAUGUGUUGAAAUUGAGGACAUGAAUUAUUAUGCAUUUGAAGUGUUCAGUUGAGGAAACAUACUUUUGAAGAGGCUACAUAGGAGAUAGAAGUAGACAUCCAUAAGCGGUAUAUGUACUUGGUCAUUGAUUCAGGUACAACAUAUUCUAGUUGUUAUUUUUCUUAGCCAUUCUCAUUUUAGAAGUAACUUGUCG